Molecule: ribosomal RNA, 1536 nt
Filed under: Klebsiella pneumoniae
Lineage: Bacteria; Pseudomonadati; Pseudomonadota; Gammaproteobacteria; Enterobacterales; Enterobacteriaceae
Also listed under: 1 other name
Description: bacterial SSU rRNA
Rfam family: Bacterial small subunit ribosomal RNA
Source: RNAcentral
UUGAAGAGUUUGAUCAUGGCUCAGAUUGAACGCUGGCGGCAGGCCUAACACAUGCAAGUCGAGCGGUAGCACAGAGAGCUUGCUCUCGGGUGACGAGCGGCGGACGGGUGAGUAAUGUCUGGGAAACUGCCUGAUGGAGGGGGAUAACUACUGGAAACGGUAGCUAAUACCGCAUAACGUCGCAAGACCAAAGUGGGGGACCUUCGGGCCUCAUGCCAUCAGAUGUGCCCAGAUGGGAUUAGCUAGUAGGUGGGGUAACGGCUCACCUAGGCGACGAUCCCUAGCUGGUCUGAGAGGAUGACCAGCCACACUGGAACUGAGACACGGUCCAGACUCCUACGGGAGGCAGCAGUGGGGAAUAUUGCACAAUGGGCGCAAGCCUGAUGCAGCCAUGCCGCGUGUGUGAAGAAGGCCUUCGGGUUGUAAAGCACUUUCAGCGGGGAGGAAGGCGUUAAGGUUAAUAACCUUGGCGAUUGACGUUACCCGCAGAAGAAGCACCGGCUAACUCCGUGCCAGCAGCCGCGGUAAUACGGAGGGUGCAAGCGUUAAUCGGAAUUACUGGGCGUAAAGCGCACGCAGGCGGUCUGUCAAGUCGGAUGUGAAAUCCCCGGGCUCAACCUGGGAACUGCAUUCGAAACUGGCAGGCUAGAGUCUUGUAGAGGGGGGUAGAAUUCCAGGUGUAGCGGUGAAAUGCGUAGAGAUCUGGAGGAAUACCGGUGGCGAAGGCGGCCCCCUGGACAAAGACUGACGCUCAGGUGCGAAAGCGUGGGGAGCAAACAGGAUUAGAUACCCUGGUAGUCCACGCCGUAAACGAUGUCGAUUUGGAGGUUGUGCCCUUGAGGCGUGGCUUCCGGAGCUAACGCGUUAAAUCGACCGCCUGGGGAGUACGGCCGCAAGGUUAAAACUCAAAUGAAUUGACGGGGGCCCGCACAAGCGGUGGAGCAUGUGGUUUAAUUCGAUGCAACGCGAAGAACCUUACCUGGUCUUGACAUCCACAGAACUUUCCAGAGAUGGAUUGGUGCCUUCGGGAACUGUGAGACAGGUGCUGCAUGGCUGUCGUCAGCUCGUGUUGUGAAAUGUUGGGUUAAGUCCCGCAACGAGCGCAACCCUUAUCCUUUGUUGCCAGCGGUUCGGCCGGGAACUCAAAGGAGACUGCCAGUGAUAAACUGGAGGAAGGUGGGGAUGACGUCAAGUCAUCAUGGCCCUUACGACCAGGGCUACACACGUGCUACAAUGGCAUAUACAAAGAGAAGCGACCUCGCGAGAGCAAGCGGACCUCAUAAAGUAUGUCGUAGUCCGGAUUGGAGUCUGCAACUCGACUCCAUGAAGUCGGAAUCGCUAGUAAUCGUAGAUCAGAAUGCUACGGUGAAUACGUUCCCGGGCCUUGUACACACCGCCCGUCACACCAUGGGAGUGGGUUGCAAAAGAAGUAGGUAGCUUAACCUUCGGGAGGGCGCUUACCACUUUGUGAUUCAUGACUGGGGUGAAGUCGUAACAAGGUAACCGUAGGGGAACCUGCGGUUGGAUCACCUCCUU